RNAcentral lists this long non-coding RNA (344 nucleotides) under Elaeis guineensis (African oil palm). Its description in RNAcentral is "long non-coding RNA (EGUI_LNC046499)". Lineage: Eukaryota; Viridiplantae; Streptophyta; Magnoliopsida; Arecales; Arecaceae. The record is from RNAcentral.
GGAGUCUCCUUCUCCAGCGAAACCCAAGGAAAUCGGGACUCCUAGGACACCUCGGAGUCCUAGGAUCCUCUAUAAGUAGACUCCUCCCCUUUGAGACCCAAGAUCGGCCUCCUCCCUCUCUCUUUUUCUCUGAUUUUCCCGAAGAAGAGCCGCCGACACAGUUGGGUUCUCGCCGUGUUUUCUCUCCGACGAGGUCCCAAGAAGCCGAGGUAAGUUCUUCCCUUUCUUCCUCCCUUCCUUCCUCUUUCCCCCGUGCGUUUGGGCGCGGUGGCCGGCGACGAGCGUCGCCGAUUUUUGGUCGGGAACAGACUCUAUUUUUUGGCUUAUUUUCCUUGAAAUCUCCG